This 273-nucleotide ribosomal RNA is filed under the name uncultured bacterium. RNAcentral describes it as "partial 16S ribosomal RNA". It matches the Rfam family "Bacterial small subunit ribosomal RNA", at positions 524 to 796 of the family's 1533-position model. The record is from RNAcentral.
UACGUAGGGUGCGAGCGUUAAUCGGAAUUACUGGGCGUAAAGCGUGCGCAGGCGGUUGUGCAAGACAGAUGUGAAAUCCCCGGGCUUAACCUGGGAACUGCAUUUGUGACUGCACGGCUGGAGUACGGCAGAGGGGGAUGGAAUUCCGCGUGUAGCAGUGAAAUGCGUAGAUAUGCGGAGGAACACCGAUGGCGAAGGCAGUCCCCUGGGCCUGUACUGACGCUCAUGCACGAAAGCGUGGGGAGCAAACAGGAUUAGAAACCCCCGUAGUCC